RNAcentral lists this small RNA (230 nucleotides) under Arabidopsis thaliana (thale cress). RNAcentral describes it as "ATSL090030". Lineage: Eukaryota; Viridiplantae; Streptophyta; Magnoliopsida; Brassicales; Brassicaceae. The record is from RNAcentral.
GUAUUAGUCUUUGGCUUUGUAUCUUCUAACAAGGAAACACUACUUUGCUUUUAAGAUUUGGAUGUGGUUCUAGUUCUUAUACUCAAUCAUACACAUGACAUAUACUCAUAUUUGACUUCAAAACACUAACCAAGCUUCUUCUUGCUUCUCAAAGCUUUGAUGGUGUAGCGGAAAUCCGUAUGAGUCUUUGGCUUUGUAUCUUCUAACAAGGAAACACUACUUAUCUUUUA